RNAcentral lists this ribosomal RNA (240 nucleotides) under uncultured bacterium. RNAcentral describes it as "partial 16S ribosomal RNA". It matches the Rfam family "Bacterial small subunit ribosomal RNA", at positions 15 to 244 of the family's 1533-position model. The record is from RNAcentral.
GAUCCUGGCUCAGGAUGAACGCUAGCUACAGGCUUAACACAUGCAAGUCGAGGGGCAGCAUGGUCUUAGCUUGCUAAGACCGAUGGCGACCGGCGCACGGGUGAGUAACGCGUAUCCAACCUGCCUUACACUCUUGGACAGCCUUCUGAAAAGGGGAGAUUAAUACAAGAUGUUAUCAUGAGUAAACAUUUUCGCAUGAUUAAAGGUUUACCGGUGUAAGAUGGGGAUGCGUUCCAUUAG